UCCCUGAGUCCCUAGCAUUCCCAGCUGAGCCCACAAUGUUUACUUUCUGGGGUCCAGACUCCAUGUGGGUAGUGUUGCUUUCUUGGAAUCUGAGAUUAUGAAAAAAUUCCAAAAAAAAAAAAUGAGGGCAUGAAUCCUG
Molecule: small nucleolar RNA, 139 nt
Filed under: Mus pahari (shrew mouse)
Lineage: Eukaryota; Metazoa; Chordata; Mammalia; Rodentia; Muridae
Description: scRNA (MGP_PahariEiJ_G0032845.1)
Source: RNAcentral